GCCAUCACAAAUAGCUCAGUCGGUAGAGUACAAGUCUCUUGAUUUCCAGGUUGUGGGUUCGAGCCCCACCUGGGGCA
Non-coding RNA from Podarcis lilfordi (Lilford's wall lizard), 77 nucleotides. The record is from the annotation of a GenBank genome assembly. Lineage: Eukaryota; Metazoa; Chordata; Lepidosauria; Squamata; Lacertidae.